GAUGAACGCUGGCGGCGUGCUUAACACAUGCAAGUCGAACGAAGCAUUUAAGACAGAUUACUUCGGUUUGAAGUCUUUUAUGACUGAGUGGCGGACGGGUGAGUAACGCGUGGGUAACCUGCCUCAUACAGGGGGAUAGCAGCUGGAAACGGCUGGUAAUACCGCAUAAGCGCACAGUACCACAUGGUACAGUGUGAAAAACUCCGGUGGUAUGAGAUGGACCCGCGUCUGAUUAGCUUGUUGGCGGGGUAACGGCCCACCAAGGCGACGAUCAGUAGCCGACCUGAGAGGGUGACCGGGCACAUUGGGACUGAGACACGGCCCAGACUCCUACGGGAGGCAGCAGUGGGGAAUAUUGCACAAUGGAGGAAACUCUGAUGCAGCGACGCCGCGUGAGUGAAGAAGUAGUUCGCUAUGUAAAGCUCUAUCAGCAGGGAAGAUAGUGACGGUACCUGACUAAGAAGCGCCGGCUAAAUACGUG
This 481-nucleotide ribosomal RNA is filed under the name uncultured bacterium. RNAcentral's name for it is "partial 16S ribosomal RNA". It matches the Rfam family "Bacterial small subunit ribosomal RNA", at positions 28 to 507 of the family's 1533-position model. The record is from RNAcentral.